CCUAAAGUUAUUUAAAUCCUUACAAAUAUUCUCAGACUUUAGAGUAAAUCAAAUAAGGUACAGCCUAUUUGAUACAGAACACAACCUUCAACAACGGGUGAUACAACUUAAAACUUAAGUGGGCCUAAGAGCAGCCACCUUUUAAAAAGCGUCAAAGCUUACACUAUACUUCAAUUCGUAAACCACUAUUGAUCCCUUCAACCCUAUUGAGAACUCCUAUAACCCUUAUAGGACAUUUUAUGCUAAAACUAGUAACAAGAGGUUACCCCUCUCUACAAUGUAAACUCAAACCAGCUUGAACCCCUCACUGGUAUCCAACAGACUUUGACUAAAGUAAUAACUCUUCUAGAAAAUAUUACUUCCACCACUGUUAACCUAACACAAGAACAUUUUAAGAAAGAUUAAAAGAAAAAGAAGGAACUCGGCAAAUAUUAAGUCCGCCUGUUUACCAAAAACAUCACCUCUUGCCCUCCCCAUAAGAGGCCCAGCCUGCCCAGUGAUUUUAUUCAACGGCCGCGGUAUCCUAACCGUGCAAAGGUAGCGUAAUCACUUGUCUCCUAAAUAGAGACUAGUAUGAAAGGCAUCACGAGACUUAUACUGUCUCCUCUCUCUAAUCAGUGAACCUAAUCUCCCCGUGAAGAAGCGGGGGUAAUUUUAUAAGACGUGCCUACCCCCACUAUUGGAAAUAAACCUUAGCAUUUUAUU
This 705-nucleotide ribosomal RNA is filed under the name Pristimantis latidiscus (disc robber frog). RNAcentral describes it as "partial large subunit ribosomal RNA". The stretch from base 399 to 648 matches the Rfam family "Archaeal large subunit ribosomal RNA", at positions 1787 to 2143 of the family's 2987-position model. Lineage: Eukaryota; Metazoa; Chordata; Amphibia; Anura; Strabomantidae. The record is from RNAcentral.